CCUUUCUAUUAGGCUUUUUUUAUUUUUUAUUAUUUGCUACAGCUGUACAAGUGGUCUAAUUAGAUAUCACGUACCCUGAUAUAAGCAGGUUUGUAAGAUGCCGCUGGUGUGUUGAAGCCUUUCCGUGCGUCAUUGCCAGGGAUCGCCCCUUCCGUUUCGCUCCUCCCGCUUCCGCAUUUGCCCUGUUUGUUUGCAGCUCUUGGAUCAUUCGUGUUGAUUAUCAUUUGUGACUGUUCCUGUAUCUAACCUUCCUCGGCGUAAUCUCGUGCCGGCCGCCGCCCUUGCGUGCACGCGAUCAGUGAAGACAUUCUAAGCUCUGGGAUGGCUCGUGAAUAAUUACUAUUCGUGGCUGCUCCUGCAUGUUCUCCUGUGUAAACUUGUGCUGGCUGCUGCGAUUGGGUGUGUGCGCUAUCGCAGUGACGUUGAAGGUACGUGUGUGCGCUCUCGCAGUGCCGUUGAAGGUACGUGUAGUUUUAUUGCACUUGAACAUUUCUAAUGAGGCUGGAAAUAAUUUUAAUUAAUUCCCUGUAGGAGGAAUAUUUGGAUUUGGGACUAUGAUUAGCUGGCAACUAUUUAUGAUGAUGCUGCUGCUUUGUCUGUGAUUGUUCUACGAUGCAAUUCUAAAGCUUUUUGCAUCAACGUUGUGUGACGUUGGGGACAGAGUGGACGCUAAGGCGUCGGUUAAAGCCCGUCACAUAAAUGUAUAAUUGGGCCUUUUUUGGUUAAAUCUGUUUAUUCAUUUAUUUGUAUUUCUUAUGUUUUCUACCUGCUUUGGUUGUAAAUUGUCCUGUACCAUUAAUCUGAUCUUGAGGUGCAUUUCCCCAGUUGGCUGGACUUUUGAUCUUAAUGCAGGUAGCUUUUGUGGUUCUUUUGUUUAAUACUUAUUUAUUUUGAAUUAUUUUGUGGUAUUUAUGUAGUUUGGUAUUUGUUUAUUUGUAAGUAUUUGUCUUAUUUUGUUUAUUUGGUUGGUGUAUUGAAUUUCAUUUGUUUUCUUUAUGUACUUGCCCCAGUUACUUAUUUUGUAUGUGGUCUAGCAUUUGAUAAUAGCUGUGAGUUUGGAGGUACACUUCUUCAUUCUGCUAAGACCUCAUUUCUGUAGCUGGGUUAUUUUGUGGUUUAGCAGUUUUCUUUGCAAAAUCUUUUCUUUGUUUAUUUUAUUUAGGUUUCUCAUACUAAAUCUUUUUUUUGUUUGGUUUAUUAUUCCUUUG
Paramisgurnus dabryanus is the source of this 1208-nucleotide long non-coding RNA. RefSeq lists it as uncharacterized. NCBI's taxonomy places the organism in Eukaryota, Metazoa, Chordata, Actinopteri, Cypriniformes, Cobitidae. The record is from RefSeq and is a predicted model, not a curated record.